RNAcentral lists this ribosomal RNA (327 nucleotides) under uncultured Anaerolineaceae bacterium. RNAcentral describes it as "bacterial SSU rRNA". It matches the Rfam family "Bacterial small subunit ribosomal RNA", at positions 1040 to 1382 of the family's 1533-position model. The record is from RNAcentral. Lineage: Bacteria; Bacillati; Chloroflexota; Anaerolineae; Anaerolineales; Anaerolineaceae.
GUUGCAUGGCUGUCGUCAGCUCGUGUCGUGAGAUGUCGGUUAAGUCCGCUAACGAGCGCAACCCUCGUCGUAUGUUAUAUGUGUCAUACGAGACUGCCGGUAAAAAGCCGGAGGAAGGUGAGGAUGAUGUCAAGUCAGCAUGACCUUUAUAUCCAGGGCUACACACACGCUACAAUGGUCUGUACAAUGGGUAGCCAAGCCGCGAGGCGGAGCCAAUCCUGAAAGCAGGCCUCAGUUCAGAUUGCAGUCUGCAACUCGACUGCAUGAAGCCGGAGUUGCUAGUAACCGCAGGUCAGCAAUACUGCGGUGAAUACGUUCCCGGGUCUU